CCUACGGGUGGCUGCAGUGAGGAAUAUUGGUCAAUGGACGCAAGUCUGAACCAGCCAUGCCGCGUGCGGGAAGACGGCCCUAUGGAUUGUAAACCGCUUUUGUAAGGGAGUAAAGGCAGAUACGCGUAUCUUUCUGAGAGUAUCUGACGAAUAAGGAUCGGCUAACUCCGUGCCAGCAGCCGCGGUAAUACGGAGGAUUCGAGCGUUAUCCGGUUUUAUUGGGUUUAAAGGGUGCGUAGGCGGACGGUAAAGUUAGCGGUAAAAUCCCGGGGCUCAACUCCGACGUGCCGUUGAAACUGUCGGUCUUGAGAGAGCGAGAAGUAUGCGGAAUGCGUGGUGUAGCGGUGAAAUGCUUAGAUAUCACGCAGAACUCCGAUUGCGAAGGCAGCAUACCGGCGCUCAACUGACGUUGAUGCACGAAAGCGUGGGUAGCGAACAGGAUUAGAUACCCUAGUAGUC
This 459-nucleotide ribosomal RNA is filed under the name uncultured bacterium. RNAcentral's name for it is "partial 16S ribosomal RNA". It matches the Rfam family "Bacterial small subunit ribosomal RNA", at positions 338 to 795 of the family's 1533-position model. The record is from RNAcentral.